This is a long non-coding RNA of Passer domesticus (house sparrow), 1713 nucleotides long. RefSeq lists it as uncharacterized. NCBI's taxonomy places the organism in Eukaryota, Metazoa, Chordata, Aves, Passeriformes, Passeridae. The record is from RefSeq and is a predicted model, not a curated record. The transcript has 3 exons.
ACCUGCUCAGAGUAAACCACAAAUACCUGCUCAGAGUAAAUACCCACAAACAGCUGCUCAGAGGAAGGGCAGCUGCCCCUGACCCUGGGCUGGGCAGAGCUGCUAGAACUUUGCUGCUUUUGUGCCUGCUGGGAUGGGAUAACAUCCAGUGAACACAGGAUGAGGACACCUGGGCAGAUCUGCCAACCAUCAGCACCCACAGUCUGAAGGCAGUGAGGACCAAGGCCCAAAAACUGGAGGUGAUAAAAAGGGACUAAAGCCACAGCCAAGGAAUCCACAUGAUUUAAAAGGUGGAACCAAAGAGGAGCCAGGCUAAACAGCUCUUGGAACAGGGCAGUGAAGGUGUUUUUCACAUGUGAUACCCACCUGCACGCUGCAGUCAUGGCCAGGACAUCCCGCGACUGAGCCCAGCUGAGUUCUGCUGAACUGGGAGGCACUGGGAUACACUGGGGGGAGCCAGUGCCCCGUGCCACUGCGGCCAGGCCUUGGCUCUCUUGGGAGCCCUUAUCUCCUGCAGCAGUGACACUGAGCCACUCCUGCUGCCGGCCCUGGCUGCUGGCCAGAGCUCCCAACACGCACAGCAGUUGUCAGGAGCAGAUGAAGAAAAAUCUCCUGGUUGGAGCAGAGGAGGGGGUGGGGGGCUGCUCGGAUUCUGUCAGGGACUGGAUGGGCCUGAAGCUCCAAAAGGGGAUCUCUAAUUAGGGGAACCCUCUGAGUGUGAUGGAUGAGAUCUGUGCUGCUCAUCACUGCAAAUCCAGGCAGAAUCUGCUCCUUUGGAGCUCAGAGGAAACAUGACUCUAAAAAAUCCUUGUUCCCGAGUGUCUGUGAGUGCUGCCAAGUCGUCCUGCUCAGCCCAGACCUGCCCAAAACUGCUCCCUCCCCUGCCUGUCCUGGUGUCUCCCUUCCUGGGAGCACACUGUCCUUGGAGGCUGGAGCUGGAACACACAGCAGCUCCUCGCCCUUUCCCAGGCUCAGAAAUUAGGGCAGGCUCAGAGAGAUCCACGAGUUUCCUUUCCUUUCCUCCUGAUGGCUGUGCCCAGGAACAUGUGGGAGAGGAGAGUAAACUCCUUCUGCUCUUCCUCCAGGAGCAGGGCAGAUGCAGUUUAGCAGGAAAAAUACAAUAGGACAAGAAUUAAAUUGCUUGUGUAGGGAUGCUGAGGUCACUGAGGACUUCAGAGUCUGGAUGGGCUCUGGGAGUGAUGGAAAAGGGAAAAGAGGGGAGAAGGUCACUGGGGUAGAGAGCACAAACUUCACUGCAUGGUAGUGACAAGUGUGGCCAGCCAGGCUCCCUGUCCCCUCUCACCAGCACCUCCCUGACUCCCAAAAAGGGUCACUGAUGAGGAGAAGGAACCCCCAACCCCCAGCUGGUCCAGGAGAAGCCUCAGGGGUACAAAGCAAUCCCUUGAAGUUCAUUUGUAUUUUCCAUUUACAUUCCACAUUUAACGCUCUGAAGCAGUGCUCUCAUGGCAGGAGCUGCUGGGUGGGACCUGCUGGGCCUGGUGGGCUGAGGGAGGCAGCACUGUCUGGGACAUAUCCUGAAGCAGAUACUCAGAGAACCUGUUUUGCACUGUUGGGUGGGGAUAUGGUGUUGGUAGGAGGUGGAAAUGACCCAGAAAUCAGGGCUGGAGCAAUUCCUAUCCCUCACACCACUGGCUGGGACCCCAGACUGGUUCCUUUGAGUCCAUGCAAUGGCCUGGGUGGGAAAGGACCUUA